This 116-nucleotide ribosomal RNA is filed under the name uncultured bacterium. Its description in RNAcentral is "partial 16S ribosomal RNA". It matches the Rfam family "Bacterial small subunit ribosomal RNA", at positions 235 to 354 of the family's 1533-position model. The record is from RNAcentral.
GGCGCNUAGUAGUGUGGGNGAACGGCCCACCAAGCCGACGAUGCGUAGGGGUUCUGAGAGGAAGGUCCCCCACAUUGGAACUGAGACACGGUCCAAACUCCUACGGGAGGCAGCAG